This is a non-coding RNA of Nothobranchius furzeri (turquoise killifish), 386 nucleotides long. The record is from RefSeq and is a predicted model, not a curated record. NCBI's taxonomy places the organism in Eukaryota, Metazoa, Chordata, Actinopteri, Cyprinodontiformes, Nothobranchiidae.
GUCACCUGUCUGCAGCAGCUGGUCCCUCUCACUUCCUGGUUUGUUAACUCUGCUCGUCUCUGUUUGUAGCAACAAGAACAUCUGGGUUCUGCUCCUGGAAAGGACGAAGCCGACUCUUAACACGGCGUCACCCUGGAAGACCGUACGGUUGGGCGUUCAGACGACGGCUAACUUUAAUUCCAUCAAGGUAAGAGGAAGCUCUUCCCUUCCUGUCUGAGCGAUCCGUCUCCAGGUUUCCUCGUCCGGCGUCCAGCCCGCUGGCGUCCACCUUCAUCUCACCUUCAUCUCAUCUCACUUCAUUUAUAGUGCAAUACUUUCACAUUAUCAUUUUCCCACACUUCUGUAUACCUGUAUUUUGUUGUUUUUCAAUAAAGAAUGACAAAUUA